UCCAACUGCACAGUCAGCAGUGUGGGAGUUGGUCGUGAACUUCACUCUCUCUGUCUCCCAAGCUCCCGGAAGCAGGGGCACCACCAGGCUCAGACAAGAAACACUGACUGAGAUGCCAACGUCCCCUGGAUCGUCUCUGGAGACCUAAGACUCAUCAACGUCGCUUGGGACCACAGUGCCAGGGUGACCUGGGAGCCGCUGAGGAAAGCAAGCGACCAGUGCCACCUGAGCCCUGUGGAGUGGAACCUGUGGAGGCAGGGGGAGGCCCAGGACAGGUGGGAGCAGGCUUGUGGGUGUGGUUCCCAGGCACCUAAGGUGGGAGAAGGAAAGAGAAGAACCUCUGUUCCAGCCACCUCUGGUAACAAACAAAAUGAAUUGAAAAUUUAGGUCUGCAUAAAAAAAUGAAUACAUGCAAACAUUCACAACAGCUCCACUCAUAACUGCCAAGACUUGGAAGCAACCAAGGUGCCCUUCAACAGGUGCAUGGAUACACAACAUCCAGGCCACGGAAUAUUAUUCAGAGAAAAGAAUGAGCUGGACAAAAACACAGUGGUGCCCUAAGUGCACAUCCUAAGUGGAAGAAAGUACUGUGUAGCUCCAACUACAUGGCGUUCUGGAAAAGGCAAAACAACGGAGAGUCAAAACAUCGGUGUUUGCCAGGGGUGCAGGAAGAGGGUGGGGGGAUGCAGAGGUGGAGCACAGGAUUUUUAAGCCCGUGGAACUCCUGUGUCUGAUCCUGUGAGGGUGGCCACAUGCCAUUCCAAGAUCCACACAGUCAUGGACCGCUGUUGGCUCAUCGCCGGUCGCAUACGCGUGCCACUAAUGCAAGGUGUUAAUGAUCGGGAUACCGUGGGUGCGAAGGACUGGACGGGAACUCUGAACUUUCUGCUCAGCUUUGCUGCGAACCUGAAACUGCUCUAAAAGAUAAAGUCCAUGAAGUAAUGACCAAAAUAAAGAAAGAAAGAAGAAGAAAGGAUUAAAAAAAAAAAAGACACAAGAGCCAACCUUAAUAAAAACUCCCAAAGGCCGAGGCUGGAAUAAUUUAAGCAAUGAAAUAGAUAAUGGUGGUAUUGAAUUGCACUCCCAAGAAUAAAUAUUCAUGAGGUCGUACUGGUACGAACACAUGAUUGACUCAAUCAGUACGUGAGGGACAAAGGACAGAUCUUCACAGAGAGUUCCACACGGCAGCUUGGGAGGAGUGAGGGCAGCAGAGGAGCCCAUAGAACACAGGGGCAGUCUCCUGAGGCCAGGCGGCUGGGUGAUGUCCCCAGGGCAGCUCUCUGAAAAUAUUUAGUCAUCAUGGAGAGGAUUUUAGCAU
Molecule: long non-coding RNA, 1318 nt
Organism: Oryctolagus cuniculus (rabbit)
Lineage: Eukaryota; Metazoa; Chordata; Mammalia; Lagomorpha; Leporidae
Source: RefSeq, a predicted model, not a curated record